Molecule: ribosomal RNA, 718 nt
Filed under: Macroclinium alleniorum
Lineage: Eukaryota; Viridiplantae; Streptophyta; Magnoliopsida; Asparagales; Orchidaceae
Description: eukaryotic LSU rRNA
Rfam family: 5.8S ribosomal RNA (bases 262-417)
Source: RNAcentral
AGGAAGGAGAAGUCGUAACAAGGUUUCCGUAGGUGAACCUGCGGAAGGAUCAUUGUCGAGACGCGAAGAGUAUACGAGCGAUUUGAAAAACCCGUUAUAUGUGCGAACGAUCUUUCUCUAUUGUUUCCCUUGAAGCUCCUUUGAGGUGAGAGGGCACGAUGAGGGACGGAUGAACAACAAUCCGGUGCAGCAACGCACCAAGGGAAUAUUGAAAUGCGCGAGCUUUGCGUUGGGCUCAGUGCACGCCAUGCGGAUGAACAUGACUCUCGACAAUGGAUAUCUUGGCUCUUGCAUCGAUGAAGAGCGCAGCGAAAUGCGAUACGUGGUGCGAAUUGCAGAAUCCCGUGAACCAUCGAGUCUUUGAACGCAAGUUGCGCCCGAGGCCAGUCGGCCAAGGGCACGUUCGCCUGGGCGUCAAGCGUUGCGUCGCUCCGUGUCACUUGUCUCGCCUAAGGGCAUGUCGGACGAGGCUCGGAUGUGUAGGGUGGCCCGUCGUGCCUGUUGGUGCGGCGGGUUGAAGAGCGGGUUUUGUCUCAUUGGCCGCGAACAACAAUGGGUGGGUGUAGGCUCUGAGCGUAGCCUGUGUUGUCUCGUGCUGGCGCGAGGGAUGGAUUGUGCCUUUGAUGUGAUCUCGAACCAUUCGUCGCUUGACAUGUGAUGGCUUGGAAUGCGACCCCAGGAUGGGCGAGGCCACCCGCCGAGUUUAAGCAUAUCAAUA